This 251-nucleotide ribosomal RNA is filed under the name uncultured bacterium. Its description in RNAcentral is "partial 16S ribosomal RNA". It matches the Rfam family "Bacterial small subunit ribosomal RNA", at positions 525 to 775 of the family's 1533-position model. The record is from RNAcentral.
ACGUAGGGAGCAAGCGUUAUCCGGAUUUACUGGGUGUAAAGGGCGCGCAGGCGGGCCGGUAAGUUGGAAGUGAAAUCUAUGGGCUUAACCCAUAAACUGCUUUCAAAACUGCUGGUCUUGAGUGAUGGAGAGGCAGGCGGAAUUCCGUGUGUAGCGGUGAAAUGCGUAGAUAUACGGAGGAACACCAGCGGCGAAGGCGGCCUGCUGGACAUUAACUGACGCUGAGGCGCGAAAGCGUGGGGAGCAAACAG